RNAcentral lists this ribosomal RNA (273 nucleotides) under uncultured bacterium. RNAcentral's name for it is "partial 16S ribosomal RNA". It matches the Rfam family "Bacterial small subunit ribosomal RNA", at positions 524 to 796 of the family's 1533-position model. The record is from RNAcentral.
AACGUAGGAGACGAGCGUUAUCCGGAAUUACUGGGCGUAAAGCGCGUGUAGGCGGUUGAGUAAGUUCGUCGUGAAAGCUCUCGGCUAAACUGAGAGAGGUCGAUGGAUACUGCUCGGCUGGAGUGGGGGAGAGGCAGGUGGAAUUCCGGGUGUAGUGGUGAAAUGCGUAGAGAUCCGGAGGAACACCAGUGGCGAAGGCGGCCUGCUGGCCCUCAACUGACGCUGAGACGCGAAAGCAUGGGGAGCGAACGGGAUUAGAAACCCCCGUAGUCC